AUCAAGGUGUCUGAAUUAAAGGUUGUAAAUUGUAAAUUUACUUAUGAAAUUUAUUUUUCUCUUGAUA
RNAcentral lists this transfer RNA (67 nucleotides) under Leptocentrus albolineatus. RNAcentral describes it as "tRNA-Tyr". RNAcentral also lists the same sequence under 1 other name. The record is from RNAcentral. Lineage: Eukaryota; Metazoa; Arthropoda; Insecta; Hemiptera; Membracidae.